CAGGCGGGUCGAGCCCUAACCACGAUUCGCCUUUUCCUCUGUGGUGGCCGGAGGCAGCUUGCGAAGGAACCGCCAUUAAGGGCUCCAGCAGAGGGGCAGAGAGGCUGUGGUCCCUGGCAGGGAUCAGGUGAAUCCUUUCAUAAUUAAUAAGACAGCUCAGCUGAAAUGGCGAGGAGACGGGGCCCUAUUGAUCUGGCAGUCGAGCUGCUUCCACCUCUCCUAUUUAUAGGCUCCGCAUGGCCUCACGGAGGAGUAAACAUUCGAGAGUAAACACGAGCGGAAGAGGCCGGGGUCCAAGCUGCAGAACUGGAGCCGGCUGGGGAGGGAGAACCGAACGAGAGGAACAGCAUCUCCUAGGGGCCCUUCCUUGAGGUUGGGGCCGGAGCAGCCCCGAAACCGAACACCCGAAUAAGGAAACCGUGCCAGCCCCGCCCAUCCCGGCUUCGACAAUCUCCCCACUCCAGCCCCACCGGGCGAGCAGGAAUGUAACAUUCCUGUCCAGAUUCUUGCCCUGGAAGGACAUCCCCUUUAGAGUGAGCACUCAGGAGCCAGAAGACCUCCAUUACCAGCUGCGUAACCAUGGGCCACGCGCUCCACCCCGCUGGCCUGCUCAGAUCUCAGAGGAUGCUCUGGAUAAGCUCCUUGAAUCAUGCUCGACGGUGACUGCGCCCCCAGACCCUACCUCACCCAACCUGGAUCGAGAGCCUGGGCCAGACCCCCGGCUUUCACUGCCUGCGAACCCCCACCUCGAGUCCCUGGGUUCUCCCAGCACUAACCGAUUCCUCCUGGAGCUUCCCAGUAGGUAGCCUGGCUGCUCUCUGGAAGGUGCCUUUCCGGCACCUGCAUUGGUUCUCGGGGCCAAGAUCGCUACCACAGCGCCCCGCCCUCCCGACUGGCGGGGAAGGGCGGGCUAGACUUUGGAUCUCCCUCUGCCGGGCAGCGGCAAGGACAGCGCAAGCAGCGACUUUUAUGCAAAGUCAGGUGUAAUUAGUUCUGGAAAACCUUGACUCUCGCUCCUUAAUCUAAUCCACACGCCUGGGGGAGCCAGGGCCUGGGUGCUGCGGGGGCGCUGAGUGAGUGACCGUGGGCGAGCGGAGAUGGGGCUCCGUUGCCAGUCCCCCCCGACCGCCACCACCGCCACCGCCACUUCCAUCCGGGAGCUCCCUGCAGCCACAAUGGCUCUGCUCCUGAGUCAGUACCAAGGCGACGACCCCCUGGCCUGAGAAGGAAGGAAGGAGGCAGCAAAGGAAAAGAAAAUCGCACCUUGAUGGAAGGGCAGCGAAGGUGACAGCUGAGCUUUUGUUUUCCCUGCCCAGGGAGACCAAGAGGCUUCCACAGGUGGCACCAACUCAGGGAGCCAGGAGGAGGACGGAACCAUCUGUGCGGGACUCGGUGCACAGAGACUGAUUAUACUACUCUCUCCCUUCUUUCUCCCCCUCCCCCUCUUUGCUCUGCCUAACUUUUUAAAAGGUUAACUUACCUUUAUUGAGCGCUUACUACAUGCUAGACAUCAUACUAAAGCUUCUGAACAUCAUCUCAUUUCCUGCGCUCAUUUCUGUAGAUUGUAUUAUCCUCAUUACAGAUGAGAAAAGGUGUAGAGAGAGGAUAGAAACCUACCCCUAGCAGCAGGUGGUAAGAGGCCCAGCUGAAAUGUGAGCACGAAUCUGUUUCAGGAAUCUGUUUUAAGACUUCACUUUGCUUGUUCUGUUACUAUUUGGAGCCAAAAGAGAGACAGCACAAGUUAAAAAAGACAACAAAGAAACUCAGGUCCUAUGGUGGGCAGAAUAAUGGCCUCACAAGAUGUCAUGUUCUAACCCCCGGAAACUGCAAAUAUGUCAGUUAUAGGGCAAAAGGGAGUUAAGGCUGCAGGUGGAAUUAGGAUGCUAAUGGGCUGACUGUAAAAUAAGAUUAUUCUGGAUCACCCCUGAGGGCCCAGUGUAAUGACAAGAGUCCUUAGAAGUGGAAGAGGGAGGCAGAAGAGAGAGGUCCGAGUCAGGGGAUGUGAGAAGGGCUGGACCCACUUCUUUGGCUUUGAAGAUGGAGCAAAGAGUCCACAAGCCAAGGAAUUCAGGCAGCCUCUAGAAACUGGUAAAGGCGAGGAAACCAGAUUCUUCCCUGGAGCCUUCAGAAAGGAACGGCCCAGCCAUUUCAGCCCAGUGAAGCUCGUGUCAGACUUCUGACCUACAGCACUAACUCGAAGAUAAGAAAUUUGCAUUGUUUAAGCCACCAAGUUUGUAGCAACUUGUUACAGUUGCAAAUAGAAAAAUAAUACAAACCCUUAUUAUGGCUGAGGGCUACAUUACAGAUACUCAGAGAGCCAGGAUCUUCAGGAAGUUUGUUGAGUCUGCUCAGGGCCCUUCUUUGAGUGUCGUGUCGUGUGUGUGUGUGUGUGUGUGUGUGUGUGUGUGUGUGUGUGUGUAGGGAGGGUGUGGGCAGCUUCAUUUCAGCCUGGGGCGGCUCCACAUGUGGA
This is a long non-coding RNA of Equus quagga, 2470 nucleotides long. RefSeq lists it as uncharacterized. The transcript has 4 exons. NCBI's taxonomy places the organism in Eukaryota, Metazoa, Chordata, Mammalia, Perissodactyla, Equidae. The record is from RefSeq and is a predicted model, not a curated record.